GACGAACGUUGGCGGCGUGCCUAAUACAUGCAAGUCAACUGAAAUACCGGUAGCAAUACUGGUAUGGAGGUGGCGCACGGGUGAGUAACACGUAGGUAAUCUGCCUUCAGGUCUGACAUAACCCAUCGGAAGGUGAGCUAAUAUCAGAUGAUGCAGCGGCUUGACAUCAAGACGGUUGUUAAAGCUUCGGCGCCUGAAGAUGAGCCUGCGCUGAUUAGCUAGUUGGCGGGGUAACGGCCCACCAAGGCUGCGAUCAGUAGCUGGUCUGAGAGGAUGAUCAGUCACACUGGAACUGAGACACGGUCCAGACUCCUACGGGAGCAGCAGUAAGAAUAUUGCUCAAUGGCCGAAAGGCUGAAGCAGCAACGCCGCGUGAGGGAUGAAGGGCUUUUGCUUGUAAACCUCUGUAGCGAGAG
RNAcentral lists this ribosomal RNA (416 nucleotides) under uncultured bacterium. RNAcentral's name for it is "bacterial SSU rRNA". It matches the Rfam family "Bacterial small subunit ribosomal RNA", at positions 28 to 444 of the family's 1533-position model. The record is from RNAcentral.